GUGCCAGCAGCCGCGGUAAUACGAAGGGUGCAAGCGUUAAUCGGAAUUACUGGGCGUAAAGGGUGCGUAGGCGGUUUGUUAAGUCUGUUGUGAAAUCCCCGGGCUCAACCUGGGAAUGGCAAUGGAUACUGGCAAGCUAGAGUGUGUCAGAGGAUGGUGGAAUUCCCGGUGUAGCGGUGAAAUGCGUAGAGAUCGGGAGGAACAUCAGUGGCGAAGGCGGCCAUCUGGGACAACACUGACGCUGAAGCACGAAAGCGUGGGGAGCAAACAGGAUUAGAUACCCUAGUAGUCC
Molecule: ribosomal RNA, 292 nt
Filed under: uncultured Rhodanobacter sp.
Lineage: Bacteria; Pseudomonadati; Pseudomonadota; Gammaproteobacteria; Lysobacterales; Rhodanobacteraceae
Description: partial 16S ribosomal RNA
Rfam family: Bacterial small subunit ribosomal RNA
Source: RNAcentral